ACCAGGGCUUCGGCCCUGGGGACAGCGUCGAACGGGUGAGUAACACGUGGGUAACCUGCCCUCGGCACCGGGAUAGCCCGGGGAAACCCGGAUUAAUACCGGACAGCCUCACGAGCCCUCGGGCGAGUGAGAAAAGGUGGCUUCGGCUUCCGGCUGAGGAUGGGCCCGCGGCCGAUUAGCUUGUUGGUGGGGUAACGGCUCACCAAGGCUCCGAUCGGUAGCUGGUCUGAGAGGACGAUCAGCCACACUGGGACUGAGACACGGCCCAGACUCCUACGGGAGGCAGCAGUGGGGAAUCUUGCGCAAUGGGCGAAAGCCUGACGCAGCGACGCCGCGUGCGGGAAGAAGGCCUUCGGG
Molecule: ribosomal RNA, 357 nt
Filed under: uncultured bacterium
Lineage: Bacteria
Description: bacterial SSU rRNA
Rfam family: Bacterial small subunit ribosomal RNA
Source: RNAcentral